AGGCCUUGACAUGCAGAGAACUUUCCAGAGAUGGAUUGGUGCCUUCGGGAGCUCUGACACAGGUGCUGCAUGGCUGUCGUCAGCUCGUGUCGUGAGAUGUUGGGUUAAGUCCCGUAACGAGCGCAACCCUUGUCCUUAGUUACCAGCACGUUAUGGUGGGCACUCUAAGGAGACUGCCGGUGACAAACCGGAGGAAGGUGGGGAUGACGUCAAGUCACCAUGGCCCUUACGGCCUGGGCUACACACGUGCUACAAUGGUCGGUACAAAGGGUUGCCAAGCCGCGAGGUGGAGCUAAUCCCAUAAAACCGAUCGUAGUCCGGAUCGCAGUCUGCAACUCGACUGCGUGAAGUCGGAAUCGCUAGUAAUCGUGAAUCAGAAUGUCACGGUGAAUACGUUCCCGGGCCUU
Molecule: ribosomal RNA, 407 nt
Filed under: uncultured Pseudomonas sp.
Lineage: Bacteria; Pseudomonadati; Pseudomonadota; Gammaproteobacteria; Pseudomonadales; Pseudomonadaceae
Description: bacterial SSU rRNA
Rfam family: Bacterial small subunit ribosomal RNA
Source: RNAcentral